This 468-nucleotide ribosomal RNA is filed under the name uncultured bacterium. RNAcentral describes it as "partial 16S ribosomal RNA". It matches the Rfam family "Bacterial small subunit ribosomal RNA", at positions 28 to 507 of the family's 1533-position model. The record is from RNAcentral.
GACGAACGCUGGCGGCGUGCUUAACACAUGCAAGUCGAACGGAAAGGCCCUGCUUUUGUGGGGUGCUCGAGUGGCGAACGGGUGAGUAACACGUGAGUAACCUGCCCUUGACUUUGGGAUAACUUCAGGAAACUGGGGCUAAUACCGGAUAGGAGCUCCUGCUGCAUGAUGGGGGUUGGAAAGUUUCGGCGGUUGGGGAUGGACUCGCGGCUUAUCAGCUUGUUGGUGGGGUAGUGGCUUACCAAGGCUUUGACGGGUAGCCGGCCUGAGAGGGUGACCGGCCACAUUGGGACUGAGAUACGGCCCAGACUCCUACGGGAGGCAGAAGUGGGGAAUAUUGCACAAUGGGCGGAAGCCUGAUGCAGCAACGCCGCGUGCGGGAUGACGGCCUUCGGGUUGUAAACCGCUUUCGCCUGUGACGAAGCGUGAGUGACGGUAAUGGGUAAAGAAGCACCGGCUAACUACGUG